CUUCAGUUUCUAGUACAACUGAGCCCUUGCCACCUACAACUGCUCGCCAACAACAAUGGAAACGACAACAAUCAUUACUGAGACACCGGUUUCUAGUACGACCGAGACACCGGCAACUACAACUACUCGACCAACAACAGUGGAAACGACAACAACCACCCCAUUCACUUCUGAGACACCUACAGUUUCUCGCACGACCGAGCCAUCGCCGACUAUAACUACCAGACCAACAACACCGGAAACGACAACAGUCACUC
Penaeus vannamei (Pacific white shrimp) is the source of this 257-nucleotide non-coding RNA. Lineage: Eukaryota; Metazoa; Arthropoda; Malacostraca; Decapoda; Penaeidae. The record is from RefSeq and is a predicted model, not a curated record.